This 339-nucleotide ribosomal RNA is filed under the name uncultured prokaryote. RNAcentral's name for it is "bacterial SSU rRNA". It matches the Rfam family "Bacterial small subunit ribosomal RNA", at positions 26 to 352 of the family's 1533-position model. The record is from RNAcentral.
AGAUUGAACGCUGGCGGCAUGCUUUACACAUGCAAGUCGAACGGCAGCACGGGGGCGGAACCCUCGGUGGCGAGUGGCGAACGGGUGGAGUAAUAGCAUCGGAACGUAUCCUUCGAGUGGGGGAGUAACGGCAGCGGAAAAGUUGUGCUAAUACCGCAUAAGCUCUGAAGGAGGGAAAGACGGGGGACCCGAAAGGCCUCGCGCUGAAGGAGCGGCCGAUGUCCGAUUAGCUAGUUGGUGGAGGUAAAGGCUUACCAAGGCGACGAUCGGUAGCUGGUCUGAGAGGAUGAUCAGCCGCACUGGGACUGAGACACGGCCCAGACUCCUACGGGCGGCAGC